CCGGCGUGAGUGAUGAAGGCUUUACGGGUCGUAAAACUCUGUUGUUAGGGAAGACAAGUGCUAGUGAAUAGCUGGCACCUUGACGGUACCUAACCAGAAAGCCACGGCUAACUACGUGCCAGCAGCCGCGGUAAUACGUAGGUGGCAAGCGUUAUCCGGAAUUAUUGGGCGUAAAGCGCGCGCAGGUGGUUUCUUAAGUCUGAUGUGAAAGCCCACGGCUCAACCGUGGAGGGUCAUUGGAAACUGGGAGACUUGAGUGCAGAAGAGGAAAGUGGAAUUCCAUGUGUAGCGGUGAAAUGCGUAGAGAUAUGGAGGAACACCAGUGGCGAAGGCGACUUUCUGGUCUGUAACUGACACUGAGGCGCGAAAGCGUGGGGAGCAAACAGGAUUAGAUACCCUGGUAGUCCACGCCGUAAACGAUGAGUGCUAAGUGUUAGAGGGUUUCCGCCCUUUAGUGCUGAAGUUAACGCAUUAAGCACUCCGCCUGGGGAGUACGGCCGCAAGGCUG
This 508-nucleotide ribosomal RNA is filed under the name uncultured Bacillota bacterium. RNAcentral's name for it is "bacterial SSU rRNA". It matches the Rfam family "Bacterial small subunit ribosomal RNA", at positions 396 to 896 of the family's 1533-position model. Lineage: Bacteria; Bacillati; Bacillota. The record is from RNAcentral.